UUAGCCUAGAAUUCUAUGGCACGUUAUUUAAGUGCCAACCACUGGUACCAUUAAUGCUAGUUACUGCUAGUUUGACCACCAAGGGGGCAUCUUUGAGAAGCAUUUGAUAGCCUUCAAUAGUGGCUGUACUAGAAAAUGUCAAACCUUUUUUUGUAAGAACACAGUAUAUGGGACUGAUUUUUAAGAAAUUUAGCUUAAUUAAUUUGUUUAAUAUUAUGGUGUUUCUCGUCCAAGAACAACUAAAAUUUCUCUGGGUUUCCAUUAGGAUGGAACGGAAAAUAUGUCACUACAGCGUGACGGUCGGGAGUAGGCUACAGUACUUGGCUAUUUUGCUAAAGAAUCCCUCUGUCUUGCGGGAGAUGGGUUCAAUUCUCUGACGGGGAGGAAGGAGUAGGCUGUCCUUGUAAAUAAGAAUUUGUUCUUAACUGACUUGCCUACCCAAAUGGAGAUUCAGUGAAAAUUAAAACUAACUGAUUUAUCAAGACCAGUCCCCAUGCUUGGUUCAGAGCAGUGUGAAACGGUGCUAAAAUAGUUGUAGGCUAUUGCUUCAAAUCCUAUUGCUUCUAACUUCAAUAUGCUCUUCAAAUAAAUAAGACCAUUUUUAACAGCACAUUACUCAACACUAGUGGCGGCCAGCACCGGGAGACCCAUGAGGCCGCUUUUGGAUUUAAUUCUGAAUCCUCUAUAUGUAAUUAUUGGCAAGUCACGUCAUAUUUUUCGAUAUACUGUAGGCCUACCAUAGACUCAGUAGUGUUGAGUAAUGUGCUGUUAAAAGUGGUGUGGGUCUUAUUUGAAGAGCAUAUUGAAGUUGGAAGCAAUAUAAUUUGAAGCACAAAGUAUCAAAAUACAGAGUGGUGUUGGUAAAGGAAUAUUGUCCUGCUAAUAGCCCAUAAUAUUAUUAUAUAAUAUUACUGUACGUGGUGUCCAGGUCAGGAUAACCAAAGCAUUUAUUUAUUAAAGACUAUCAGAAAGAAUGUUGGUACUUAUUUGUUUUGAUCCAAAGCCAUGAAUGAGUGAGUCACUCAGCUUUAUGUAGGUGCCGGGCUAUAUGACUGUGCCAUCAACUUGAAAAUAUAUAACAAUAUUUUGGAGGUUAUUUUGUUUUGUUUUUAAACGAAAGUGAGCGAUUGUAAUCUGAAUAAAGGCCAAAACAUUUAUUUCUGUUUUUAGAGGGAGAGAAAUGCUGGGCCAAUUGUGCGAUGCCCUAUGUGAUUCCCAAUUAGGGGUCGGAUGUGAUCCAUUAUAUUUUUUGUCUUUUUCUGGUGGAUUAAACUGAAAUUGCAACCAAUCACGGCCAACCUAACUACCUGCUAAUAGCCAUGAUGGUGCUGGACAACGUGACCAUGUGUGUAUUUUCCAGUGAACAACAAUUUCUUUACCUUCAUUAGACAACUUUGUUCCAAUAUUUCUGUAAUUCAGUGAUAUUUAUUCCCAUAGUAAUUUGUUAUGGAUCCAUAACUAAGUAAACAUCUGCAUUUUGAAAGAGUAUUUUUUUAAUCAUUUAUUAACGAAAGCAUAAAGACACGGAUGAAGAAAUACAGUACUGUAAAGUAUAUGCUUUUACUUUUGGAUAAUAAAUCAUUUAAAGAGUUUUGCAUAUAAAAGCCACCUGAAUUUGUUUAUUAGGCUAUAGCAGAACAGCACAACGGUCCGGACCGCCCUUGCUGUGCCUGGGUAGCAGUUGAUCAAGUUCUGUUGUCAGAAGAGGAAUGGAAAUGUCAGGAUGAACCGAUGACCUGAUGAAACUGCCAGGUAUGUUGACUCUGAAUGUCAGAGGUGGAGUUCCAGAGCUCACUGGUGUGCCUGGCAUUGUGUUCCUCGCCCUCUUCAACCCGUCAUUCUCCGCCAAUGGCACCUGGCUCUGGACCAACGCAUCAGCUGUCGCCCGUAUCUGCCCUCAGAUGUUUAUCUUUCUGCUGGUCUGCCUUCAAUGGCUCGAUCUGGGUCUUCAAAGUUUGAAUCUGAUCCAUGUGCACCUUCAUCAGAUGAGCAGAAUGGUAUCGCCCUGAGCCCCCAUCGAUUAGUGGCCUAUGAACAGAUAGACUAUUCAAGCCAUCGACUCAAUGAUGAAUGAAGAUGAUGAGCGAUCGGCAAAGGCAAUCUGGAAUCUGAUGGCAUCACAGCACAACAUCAACAUUGCUCUAAUCACAGUCAGAAGACAGUUGAAGAAACUGACUUAUGGAAAGGCUCGGUUCGGCAUUCAAUGUCAUCUUCACAGACGAAUCAACCGUGGCUCUUGAACAAUUUGCUUAAAAUUGCUACUGAAAAAAAGAAAGAAGGUUAAGCAAGCCGAGUUCCAAGCAUCCGCUCAAACUCGACGUGUGGGGCAAUUUCUCGCCAGGGACCAGGCCCAAAUUAGAUUUUUGAUGGUUAGCUUGGCUAUUUACAAAUCAAAAGGUACAUCAAAUAUUGUAGCCUACAACGCACGGACUGUUAUGUGUUCCACAUUUCACUGUUGUCUCCUUUUUCAGAUGUCAUUGGGGAAGAAAUCAAGAGAUAUGCUGGACCAUAUGUCAGAGAGGUGUUUCUGGUACCACGUUGUUUCUUUCAAGGUCACUUGCUCUGAGACCUUGAAGUAGUGGUUCCCCUUGCUCUGCAAGGGCCGCGGCUUUUGUGGAGCGAUGGGUAAUGAUGCUUCGUGGGUGACUGUUGUUGAUUUGUGCAGAGGGUCUCUGGUUCGAGCCCGGGUAUGGGCGAGGGGACGGUCUAAAGUUAUACUGUUACAUUUAGGCCUAUGUACAUGUAUAUUUCUAGUGUUGUACCUAAUGUUGGCUGUUAGGCUAAAUGUUUUUUUAAAUGCGGACAAUGACCCAAAACACACUGCCGCCCGGGUUUGCAUUGCAAAUGAGGGCAUAAACUGAGUCAAGAUGCCAGCACAUUUUAUGUAUGGUGGUCCUUCUGU
Molecule: long non-coding RNA, 2902 nt
Organism: Oncorhynchus gorbuscha (pink salmon)
Lineage: Eukaryota; Metazoa; Chordata; Actinopteri; Salmoniformes; Salmonidae
Exons: 3
Source: RefSeq, a predicted model, not a curated record